RNAcentral lists this ribosomal RNA (253 nucleotides) under uncultured bacterium. RNAcentral describes it as "partial 16S ribosomal RNA". It matches the Rfam family "Bacterial small subunit ribosomal RNA", at positions 524 to 776 of the family's 1533-position model. The record is from RNAcentral.
UACGAGAGGCCCAAACGUUAUUCGGAAUUACUGGGCUUAAAGAGUUCGUAGGCGGCAUGUAAAGCAGGGUGUGAAAGCCCUCGGCUCAACCGAGGAAUUGCGCUCUGAACUGUCGUGCUUGAGGAACCUAGAGGUGAGCAGAACAGAUGGUGGAGCGGUGAAAUGCGUUGAUAUCAUCUGGAAUACCGGAGGCGAAGGCGGCUCACUGGGGGUUUUCUGACGCUGAGGAACGAAAGCCAGGGUAGCGAACGGG